This 460-nucleotide ribosomal RNA is filed under the name uncultured bacterium. RNAcentral's name for it is "partial 16S ribosomal RNA". It matches the Rfam family "Bacterial small subunit ribosomal RNA", at positions 338 to 795 of the family's 1533-position model. The record is from RNAcentral.
CCUACGGGCGGCAGCAGUGAGGAAUAUUGGUCAAUGGGCGUAAGCCUGAACCAGCCAAGUAGCGUGAGGGAUGAAGGUUCUAUGGAUCGUAAACCUCUUUUAUAAAGGAAUAAAGUGUGGGACGUGUCCUGUUUUGUAUGUACCUUAUGAAUAAGGAUCGGCUAACUCCGUGCCAGCAGCCGCGGUAAUACGGAGGAUCCGAGCGUUAUCCGGAUUUAUUGGGUUUAAAGGGUGCGUAGACGGGCUGUUAAGUCAGCGGUGAAAGUCUGUGGCUCAACCAUAGAAUUGCCGUUGAAACUGGGAGUCUUGAGUACGGUUGAGGUAGGCGGAAUGCGUGGUGUAGCGGUGAAAUGCUUAGAUAUCACGAAGAACCCCGAUUGCGAAGGCAGCCUGCCAAGCCAUGACUGACGCUGAUGCACGAAAGCGUGGGGAUCAAACAGGAUUAGAUACCCGGGUAGUC